This 873-nucleotide ribosomal RNA is filed under the name uncultured organism. RNAcentral describes it as "bacterial SSU rRNA". It matches the Rfam family "Bacterial small subunit ribosomal RNA", at positions 223 to 1103 of the family's 1533-position model. The record is from RNAcentral.
AGAGGCGCCUACUUCUUAUCAGCUUGUUGGUGAGGUAACGGCUCACCAAGGCUAUGACGAGUAGCUGGUCUGAGAGGAUGAUCAGNCACACUGGGACUGAGACACGGCCCAGACUCCUACGGGAGGCAGCAGUAAGGAAUCUUCCGCAAUGGGCGAAAGCCUGACGGAGCAACACCGCGUGAAGGAUGACGGCCUUCGGGUUGUAAACUUCUUUUAUUAGGGAACAAUUUUGAGUGUACCUUAUGAAUAAGUCACGGCUAAUCACGUGCCGGCAGCCGCGGUAAUACGUGAGUGGCUAGCGUUAUCCGGAAUCAUUGGGCGUAAAGCGUCAGUAGGAGGUAUGUUAAGUGAGAUGUAAAAGACAACGGCUCAACCGGGGUAUGGCAUCUCAUACUGGCAUACUAGAGGAAUGCAAAGGCAAAUGGAAUUCCAGGAGUAGGGGUAAUAUCCGUAGAGCCCUGGAGGAACACCAAUAGCGAAGGCAUAUUUGCUGGGCAUUUCCUGACUCUCAGUGACGAAAGCGUGGGGAGCGAACCGGAUUAGAUACCCGGGUAGUCCACGCCCUAAACGAUGGGUAUUCGGCGCAAGAAGCAUCGAUCCUUUUUGUGCCUAAGCUAACGCCGUUAAGUACCCCGCCUGGGGAGUACGAUCGCAAGAUUAAAAACUCAAAGGAAUUGACGGGGAUCCACACAAGCGUUGGAGCAUGUGGUUUAAUUCGAUGAUAAGCGAGGAACCUUACCUAGGCGUGACAUCGUAUCUAACGCUCUGGAAACAGAAGAAGUGCCCUUCGGGGAAAGAAUAUGACAGGUGCUGCAUGGUCGUCGUCAGCUCGUGCCGUGAGGUGUACGGUUAAGUCCGAUAACGAGCGCAACC